UCGGCCGUAACUAUAACGGUCCUAAGGUAGCGAAAUUCCUUGUCGGGUAAGUUCCGACCUGCACGAAUCGUGCAACGAGAUGGGCGCUGUCUCGACCAGGUGCUCAGUGAAAUUGUAACACCGGUGAAGAUGCCGGUUACCCGCAGAAGGACGGAAAGACCCUAUAGACCUUAACUGUAAGCUGUUACUGGUUAUUUGAUUUCAAUGCUCAGCAUAAGUGGGAGGCUUUGAAGCGGCGUUUUAGGGCGUCGUGGAGCCAUCAGUGAGAUACCACCCUUUGGUAUUGGAUGAUCUAACCCCGAGCCGUUAUCCGGCCGGGGGACCCUGGCAGCCGGUCAGUUUUACUGGGGCGGUAUCCUCCUAAAGAGUAACGGAGGAGCGCGAAGGUGGGCUCAGCGCAGUUGGCAACUGCGUGUCGAGUGUAAAGGCACAAGCCCGCCUAACUGUGAGACCUACAAGUCGAGCAGAUACGAAAGUAGGCCUUAGUGAUCCGGCGGUUGAAUGUGGAAUUGCCGUCGCUCAACGGAUAAAAGGUACCUUAGGGAUAACAGGCUGAUCGCGCCCAAGAGUUCAUAUCGACGGCGCGGUUUGGCACCUCGAUGUCGGCUCGUCGCAUCCUGGGGCUGGAGAAGGUCCCAAGGGUCCGGCUGUUCGCCGGUUAAAGCGGCACGCGAGCUGGGUUCAGAACGUCGCGAGACAGUUCGGUCCUCUAUCCUCUGUGGGCGUAGGAGAAUUGAGGGGUUCACUUUCUAGUACGAGAGGACCGAAAGUGACGCACCUCUGGUGUACCAGUUGUUCUGUCAAGAGCAUCGCUGGGUAGCUAAGUGCGGAAGAGAUAAGCGCUGAAAGCAUCUAAGCGCCAAGCUCCUCCCAAGAUGAAUUCUCCCUGAGGAUCGUGGUAGACCACCACGUUGAUAGGCUGAUGGUGUAAGUCCAGUAAUGGAUUUAGCUUACCAGUACUAAUCAUCCGAUAGGCUUGAUUCCUUCUCUCUC
RNAcentral lists this ribosomal RNA (993 nucleotides) under Roseibacillus sp. RNAcentral's name for it is "bacterial LSU rRNA". It matches the Rfam family "Bacterial large subunit ribosomal RNA", at positions 1930 to 2925 of the family's 2925-position model. Lineage: Bacteria; Pseudomonadati; Verrucomicrobiota; Verrucomicrobiia; Verrucomicrobiales; Verrucomicrobiaceae. The record is from RNAcentral.